This 421-nucleotide ribosomal RNA is filed under the name uncultured Bacteroides sp. RNAcentral describes it as "bacterial SSU rRNA". It matches the Rfam family "Bacterial small subunit ribosomal RNA", at positions 356 to 774 of the family's 1533-position model. Lineage: Bacteria; Pseudomonadati; Bacteroidota; Bacteroidia; Bacteroidales; Bacteroidaceae. The record is from RNAcentral.
GAGGAAUAUUGGUCAAUGGGCGAGAGCCUGAACCAGCCCAGUCGCGUGAAGGAAGAAGGCUCUAUGGUUCGUAAACUUAUUUUGCAGGGGAAUAAAGUGCAGGACGUGUCCUGUUUUGUAUGUACCCUGAGAAUAAGGAUCGUCUAACUCCGUGCCAGCAGCCGCGGUAAUACGGAGGAUCCGAGCGUUAUCCGGAUUUAUUGGGUGUAAAGGGAGCGUAGGCGGACUAUUAAGUCAGCUGUGAAAGUUUACGGCUCAACCGUGAAAUUGCAGUUGAAACUGUUCGUCUUGAGUGCAGUAAAGAUGGGCGGAAUUCGUGGUGUAGCGGUGAAAUGCUUAGAUAUCACGAAGAACUCCAAUUGCGAAGGCAGCUCACUGGAGUGUAACUGACGCUGAUGCUCGAAAGUGUGGGUAUCAAACA